This 460-nucleotide ribosomal RNA is filed under the name uncultured Pedobacter sp. RNAcentral's name for it is "bacterial SSU rRNA". It matches the Rfam family "Bacterial small subunit ribosomal RNA", at positions 338 to 795 of the family's 1533-position model. Lineage: Bacteria; Pseudomonadati; Bacteroidota; Sphingobacteriia; Sphingobacteriales; Sphingobacteriaceae. The record is from RNAcentral.
CCUACGGGGGGCUGCAGUAAGGAAUAUUGGUCAAUGGGGGCAACCCUGAACCAGCCAUGCCGCGUGCAGGAAGACGGCCCUACGGGUUGUAAACUGCUUUUAUACGGGAAUAAAUCUCGCUACGUGUAGUGAGUUGAAUGUACUGUAAGAAUAAGGAUCGGCUAACUCCGUGCCAGCAGCCGCGGUAAUACGGAGGAUCCAAGCGUUAUCCGGAUUUAUUGGGUUUAAAGGGUGCGUAGGCGGCCUAUUAAGUCAGGGGUGAAAGACGGUGGCUCAACCAUCGCAGUGCCCUUGAUACUGAUGGGCUUGAUUACACUUGAGGUAGGCGGAAUGUGACAAGUAGCGGUGAAAUGCAUAGAUAUGUCACAGAACACCAAUUGCGAAGGCAGCUUACUAAGGUGUCACUGACGCUGAGGCACGAAAGCGUGGGGAUCAAACAGGCUUAGAUACCCGAGUAGUC